This 405-nucleotide ribosomal RNA is filed under the name uncultured bacterium. RNAcentral describes it as "partial 16S ribosomal RNA". It matches the Rfam family "Bacterial small subunit ribosomal RNA", at positions 30 to 526 of the family's 1533-position model. The record is from RNAcentral.
AUUGAACGCUAGCGGCAGGCUUUACACAUGCAAGUCGAACGAGAGGCGGACGGGUGAGUAAUAUAUCUGAACGUGCCCGGUAGAGGGGGAUCACUACUGGAAAGGGUGGCUAAUACCGCAUACAAUCCGAGCGGCCCAUAUCGGAUUCGCUAGUGGGUGGGGUAAAGGCUCACCUAGGCAACGAUCCGUAGCUGGUCUGAGAGGACGACCAGCCACACUGGGACGGAGACACGGCCCAUACUCCUACGGGAGGCAGCAGUGGGGAAUUUUGGACAAUGGGGGAAACCCUGAUCCAGCCAUCCCGCGUGUAUGAGAAGGCCUUCGGGUUGUAAAGUACUUUUGGCGGAGAAGCGGUAUCUGCAGAAGAAGCACCGGCUAACUACGUGCCAGCAGCCGCGGUAAUUC